GAUGAACGCUGGCGGCGUGCUUAACACAUGCAAGUCGAACGAAACACCUUAUUUGAUUUUCUUCGGAACUGAAGAUUUGGUGAUUGAGUGGCGGACGGGUGAGUAACGCGUGGGUAACCUGCCCUGUACAGGGGGAUAACAGUCAGAAAUGACUGCUAAUACCGCAUAAGACCACAGCACCGCAUGGUGCAGUGGUAAAAACUCCGGUGGUACAGGAUGGACCCGCGUCUGAUUAGCUGGUUGGUGAGGUAACGGCUCACCAAGGCGACGAUCAGUAGCCGGAUUGAGAGAGUGAACGGCAACAUUGGGACUGAGACACGGACCAAACUCCUACGGGAGGCAGAAGGGGGGAAGAUUGCACAAUGGGGGAAACCCUGAGGUAGCGACGCCGCGUGAUGAAGAAGUAUUUCGGUAUGUAAAGCUCUAUCAGCAGGGAAGAAAAUGACGGUACCUGACGAAGAAGCCCCGGCUAACUACGUG
RNAcentral lists this ribosomal RNA (480 nucleotides) under uncultured bacterium. RNAcentral describes it as "partial 16S ribosomal RNA". It matches the Rfam family "Bacterial small subunit ribosomal RNA", at positions 28 to 507 of the family's 1533-position model. The record is from RNAcentral.